CCUUCCUCCAGGAGGACACACCAGGGAGCCUUCCCUCCUGAAGCUUGUUCCCAAGUCAGGACAGGGCACUUGGUCACAGAUGACAGCCAAGAAGCUGGUUUCAGGUGACCAGCAUGGAGACAAAGAGCUUCAGCAGCCUUCCUGAAACUAUAAGACAAGUUGGAGAAAGGACGCCAGUGCUACGGAUGAUGGAACCGAGCAGUGGAUGAGCCGCCUGCCUUGUUGGCUCUCCCAGGACAAAUCACUUCCUGCCCGAGUACAACUGUGAGAACAGAACCGUUAGCUGUUUGAGAGCAAGUGAGCUUGGCUCCUUUGGGAGUCACUGAUAUUUAAUAAAUGUUGCUUUAUGUCCAGCUG
This 357-nucleotide long non-coding RNA is filed under the name Mus caroli (Ryukyu mouse). Its description in RNAcentral is "lncRNA (MGP_CAROLIEiJ_G0005475.1)". Lineage: Eukaryota; Metazoa; Chordata; Mammalia; Rodentia; Muridae. The record is from RNAcentral.